AACAGCGUCAGAAGCAUACUGAGCCUUGGAUGAGGCGAAUGAGAAAGCAGACAAGUUAUUUGCCACUUGGACUGAAGUAUUUUCCAGCACAGCGACUCCAGUGAGCACGGGGCACUGAUGCAGCGUCUUUUAUAAUUAGCAGCGGAGUGAAAUCAGAGGGACUACCACGCCUUAAACACAGCUCUUUUUAAAUCACCACUAAAGCCACAUUCAGCAGAUUAACUACAUCAAGAUUAAAGAAGUCCACACUCAUUUUUUAAUCAUCUGUGCUGUUGAAGGAGAAGAAAAGGACUGGGCAGCUGAGAAGCAGCUUGGUGUGAAUAUGGAGGACACGGAGAGGGCCGAAACAAAUUCCCAGAGUUCAUCAGGCACGAAACACAGCAGAUGGUGGCAGUGAUGAAGAGGGAGGGAACUGAUUGGCUGCUGCAGAGACGGAUGGCUACUCAGUUAGACUUGAUGAAGAAUGUAACAGUCCAUUGGGAGGAUAGGCACAGUAUUCUAAACAAUAGAAGCAGGGGACCAGAUGUGCACCUACUGAAUGUACUGAAUUUGCUCAGCUUUCUGUAUUACUGGAUGCCUCCAAUCCCAACAUACUACAAAUUGUUGUCUCACUUCUGUAGUACUGGACAUGGCUGCACAUGCAUGCAACAAGUAAACACCUCAUUAGUUAAGUGAUAUGUAUAAAGGCCAUGAGAUGAACAUACGUUCCUUGAACUUUUUAUCAGUAUCAAUCAAUCACUCUUUAUUUUAACUUAGAAAUGCAUUUAGGAUGACUCACAAUUACAGUGCAGCCUAACAAAUAAUAAGAUAAUGAUGAAAACAAGCCAAACAAUGAUCUUACACUGCAUUUCAAAAGUUUGGAAUGAAUGUUUAUCAAUGUAUAAAUGAUUAUGUUAAUUAAAGUAAUAUCUGUGAAUGUCUAAUAUAAAAAAAUGAAAAGACCA
Astyanax mexicanus (Mexican tetra) is the source of this 944-nucleotide long non-coding RNA. RefSeq lists it as uncharacterized. Lineage: Eukaryota; Metazoa; Chordata; Actinopteri; Characiformes; Acestrorhamphidae. The transcript is spliced from 2 exons. The record is from RefSeq and is a predicted model, not a curated record.